RNAcentral lists this ribosomal RNA (253 nucleotides) under uncultured bacterium. Its description in RNAcentral is "partial 16S ribosomal RNA". It matches the Rfam family "Bacterial small subunit ribosomal RNA", at positions 524 to 776 of the family's 1533-position model. The record is from RNAcentral.
UACAGAGGUGGCAAGCGUUGUUCGGAAUUACUGGGCGUAAAGGGCGCGUAGGCGGUUCGUUAAGUCCUGUGUGAAAUCCCCCGGCUCAACUGGGGAACUGCACAGGAAACUAGCGGGCUUGAGUUCGGGAGAGGGAAGCGGAAUUCCUGGUGUAGCGGUGAAAUGCGCAGAUAUCAGGAAGAACACCCGUGGCGAAGGCGGCUCUCUGGGACGGUACUGACGCUGAGACGCGAAAGCGUGGGGAGCGAACAGG